CGCAGGGUUCGGCUGGAGAAACCCUCCAGUGAUUCAAAAACCUCAUGAGGGUCAGAAGGAACCCAUUGAAAAUGGCUUAGGAUGAGGGUCUUUGGGGAUGAAGACUGGCCUGGAAGGAGAGCUACCUGGACCCAUCAUACCCAAACUCCAAAUGGGGACACUCCUACGGGGUUGAAGCACUCAUCGUAUCUCUACCAGACUAUUGUAUCUGUUUCUCCACUGGU
Molecule: long non-coding RNA, 224 nt
Organism: Ornithorhynchus anatinus (platypus)
Lineage: Eukaryota; Metazoa; Chordata; Mammalia; Monotremata; Ornithorhynchidae
Exons: 2
Source: RefSeq, a predicted model, not a curated record